GAUGAACGCUGGCGGCGUGCCUAAUACAUGCAAGUCGAGCGAACAGACGAGGAGCUUGCUCCUCUGACGUUAGCGGCGGACGGGUGAGUAACACGUGGAUAACCUACCUAUAAGACUGGGAUAACUUCGGGAAACCGGAGCUAAUACCGGAUAAUAUAUUGAACCGCAUGGUUCAAUAGUGAAAGACGGUUUUGCUGUCACUUAUAGAUGGAUCCGCGCCGCAUUAGCUAGUUGGUAAGGUAACGGCUUACCAAGGCAACGAUGCGUAGCCGACCUGAGAGGGGGAUCGGCCACACGGGAGCGGAGACGCGGUCCAGGCUCCUACGGGAGGCAGCAGUAGGGAACCUUCCGCAAUGGGCGAAAGCCUGACGGAGCAACGCCGCGUGAGUGAUGAAGGUCUUCGGAUCGUAAAACUCUGUUAUUAGGGAAGAACAAAUGUGUAAGUAACUAUGCACGUCUUGACGGUACCUAAUCAGAAAGCCACGGCUAACUACGUG
This 497-nucleotide ribosomal RNA is filed under the name uncultured bacterium. RNAcentral describes it as "partial 16S ribosomal RNA". It matches the Rfam family "Bacterial small subunit ribosomal RNA", at positions 28 to 507 of the family's 1533-position model. The record is from RNAcentral.